RNAcentral lists this unclassified non-coding RNA (538 nucleotides) under Hevea brasiliensis (rubber tree). Lineage: Eukaryota; Viridiplantae; Streptophyta; Magnoliopsida; Malpighiales; Euphorbiaceae. The record is from RNAcentral.
UAUUUAUUUAUUUUUAUUUUUUAUGCGGUUUUCUUCUUCUUUCCCAGCGUUUAUCAAUAUAUUAAUGCCAAAGUAGCUGAAACGGAUAAAUUAAAAUUACUAAAUGGCAAAUGUACAAAAGGGAAUUUGUACAAAACUCGUGAUGAGAGAAAUGUUAACAUUCAAAUUAAGAGUUACUCAAUGACAUAAAGAGCAGUUCACUGUUCAAAAAAGAUCUCAGGUUAAAUAUUAAAAUGGAAUUCCACUUAUAUUUUGUAUAAAUUCCCCUUUUAGACUAUGCCCAUCCUAAACAUUACUACAAGAAACACGUCGUUUAAGUUGUAUAACAUAUGAAAUCAAACACCUUGGUCCAAUAGAAACAAUAAAAACAUUGAAAUGAUUGAUAUACUUAAAACAAACCAAUUAAAAAGGACGUGGAAUAUCUUUCUUAGCGUUUAUCAAUAUAUUAACGCCAAAGUAGCUGAAACGGACAAAAGUAUUAAUAAAUGGCAAAUAUACAGAAGGCAAUUUGCACAAAACUCGUGAUGAGAAAAAUGUA